AGUGAAAGAAAUAACAAUACAGGACUUUUUGGUUUUGUAAUUGGAAUGAGUUAAGUAUAAACCCCUUUACAAGUAUCAAUUGGGGGGCAAGUCUGGUGCCAGCAGCCGCGGUAAUUCCAGCUCCAUUGGCGUAUAUUAAAGUUGUUGCAGUUAAAAAGCUCGUAGUUGGAUUUCUGUUAAUAAUUUAUAUAAAAUAUUUUGAUGAAUAUUUAUAUAAUAUUAACAUAAUUCAUAUUACUAUUUUUUUUAGUAUAUGAAAUUUUACUUUGAGAAAAUUAGAGUGCUUAAAGCAGG
RNAcentral lists this ribosomal RNA (294 nucleotides) under Cryptosporidium hominis. RNAcentral's name for it is "partial 18S ribosomal RNA". It matches the Rfam family "Eukaryotic small subunit ribosomal RNA", at positions 466 to 784 of the family's 1831-position model. Lineage: Eukaryota; Apicomplexa; Conoidasida; Eucoccidiorida; Cryptosporidiidae. The record is from RNAcentral.